AUCGCGUCGCCCCCAACAAAUAUCUGUUGGGGGCGGAUAUUGGUCUCCCGUGCUCAUGGUGUGGUUGGCCAAAAUAAGAGUCCCUUCGAUGGACACACGAACUAGUGGUGGUCGUAAAAACCCUCGUUCUUUGUUCUGUGUUAGUCGCAAGGAAAAACUCUUCGAAUACCCCAACGCGUUGUCUUAGGAUGACGCUUCGA
Molecule: unclassified non-coding RNA, 200 nt
Filed under: Achillea ptarmicifolia
Lineage: Eukaryota; Viridiplantae; Streptophyta; Magnoliopsida; Asterales; Asteraceae
Description: partial internal transcribed spacer 2
Source: RNAcentral